Molecule: ribosomal RNA, 1140 nt
Filed under: uncultured fungus
Lineage: Eukaryota; Fungi
Description: eukaryotic LSU rRNA
Rfam family: Eukaryotic large subunit ribosomal RNA (bases 512-1140)
Source: RNAcentral
AAGUCGUAACAAGGUUUCCGUAGGUGAACCUGCGGAAGGAUCAUUACAGAGUUCAUGCCCUCACGGGUAGAUCUCCCACCCUUGAAUACUAUACCUUAGUUGCUUUGGUAGGCCGUGGAAACACCACGGGCUCCGGCCUGUGUGUGCCUGCCAGAGGAAACAAACUCUGUUUUUAGUGAUGUCUGAGUACUAUAUAAUAGUUAAAACUUUCAACAACGGAUCUCUUGGUUCUGGCAUCGAUGAAGAACGCAGCGAAAUGCGAUAAGUAAUGUGAAUUGCAGAAUUCAGUGAAUCAUCGAAUCUUUGAACGCACAUUGCGCCCUGUGGUAUUCCGCAGGGCAUGCCUGUUCGAGCGUCAUUUCAACCAAUCAAGCCUAGGCUUGGUCUUGGGGUAUGCGGGUUUCCGUAGCCUCUAAAAUCAGUGGCGGUGCUAGUUAGCUCUGAGCGUAGUAAUACUCCUCGCUAUAGAGUCUAGGUAGUGUCUUGCCAACAACCCCCCAUUUUUUCAGGUUGACCUCGGAUCAGGUAGGGAUACCCGCUGAACUUAAGCAUAUCAAUAAGCGGAGGAAAAGAAACCAACAGGGAUUACCUCAGUAACGGCGAGUGAAGCGGUAACAGCUCAAAUUUGAAAUCUGCCAACAGGCCGAGUUGUAAUUUGUAGAAGAUGCUUUGGGUAUGGCCCCGGUCUAAGUUCGUUGGAACACGACGUCAUAGAGGGUGAGAAUCCCGUAUGUGACUGGGUGCUUUUGCCUAUGUAAAGCUCUUUCGACGAGUCGAGUUGUUUGGGAAUGCAGCUCAAAAUGGGUGGUAUAUUUCAUCUAAAGCUAAAUAUUGGCCAGAGACCGAUAGCGCACAAGUAGAGUGAUCGAAAGAUGAAAAGCACUUUGGAAAGAGAGUUUAACAGUACGUGAAAUUGUUGAAAGGGAAGCGCUUGCAACCAGACUUGCACGCUGUUGAUCAUCCAGGCUUCUGUCUGGUGCACUCGGCAGUGUUCAGGCCAGCAUCGGUUUCGGUGGUGGGAUAAAGGCCUUGGGAAUGUAGCUUCUUUCGGGGAGUGUUAUAGCCCUCGGUGCAAUGCCGCCUAUCGGGACCGAGGACCGCGCUUCGGCUAGGAUGCUGGCGUAAUGGUUGUAAGCGACC